RNAcentral lists this unclassified non-coding RNA (238 nucleotides) under Hevea brasiliensis (rubber tree). The record is from RNAcentral. Lineage: Eukaryota; Viridiplantae; Streptophyta; Magnoliopsida; Malpighiales; Euphorbiaceae.
GCACUCGGCGGGGAAGCCCUGGGGGAAGCGCCAGCCGUCGGCGCAGUAGUUGUAGGACAUGUAGUUGCGCUCGGCCCACGCGACGGUGCCGAGCUCGGCGCCGUCGAGCUCGCGGUGGAUCCACGCCGACGUGCCCUCGGGGCACCACGACGACGACCACCCGCCGGCGGGAUUGUUGUUGACGCACGCGUUGGUGCUGUACCCGCGGUACGACACCACGAACGGCGCGCCGCUCCAG